ACGGGUGAGUAAUACGUAGGGAUCUGCCUUGAAGAGUGGGACAACCCGAGGAAACUCGGGCUAAUACCGCAUGAUCUCUGAGGAGGAAAGGCUAGGAGUAAUUCUGGCGCUUUAAGAGGAACCUACGUCCGAUUAGCUAGUUGGUAAGGUAAAGGCUUACCAAGGCGAUGAUCGGUAGCUGUUCUGAGAGGAAGAACAGCCACACUGGGACUGAGACACGGCCCAGACUCCUACGGGAGGCAGCAGUGGGGAAUAUUGGACAAUGGGGGCAACCCUGACCCAGCGAUGCCGCGUGUGUGAAGAAGGCCUUCGGGUUGUAAAGCACUUUAGUUGGGGAAGAAGAAUUGUUGUUUAAGAGAUGGCAAUUUUGACGGUACCCAAGGAAUAAGCACCGGCUAACUCUGUGCCAGCAGCCGCGGUAAUACAGAGGGUGCGAGCGUUAAUCGGAAUUACUGGGCGUAAAGGGCGCGUAGGCGGUUUGAUAAGUGAGAUGUGAAAUCCCCGGGCUUAACCUGGGAACUGCAUCUCAGACUAUGAGACUGGAGUACAGUAGAGGGUAGUGGAAUUUCCGGUGUA
Molecule: ribosomal RNA, 576 nt
Filed under: uncultured bacterium
Lineage: Bacteria
Description: bacterial SSU rRNA
Rfam family: Bacterial small subunit ribosomal RNA
Source: RNAcentral